AGACCCGAAACCCGGUGAUCUAGCCAUGGGCAGGUUGAAGGUUGGGUAACACUAACUGGAGGACCGAACCGACUAAUGUUGAAAAAUUAGCGGAUGACCUGUGGCUGGGGGUGAAAGGCCAAUCAAACCGGGAGAUAGCUGGUUCUCCCCGAAAGCUAUUUAGGUAGCGCCUCGUGAAUUCAUCUCCGGGGGUAGAGCACUGUUUCGGCUAGGGGGCCAUCCCGGCUUACCAACCCGAUGCAAACUGCGAAUACCGGAGAAUGUUAUCACGGGAGACACACGGCGGGUGCUAACGUCCGUCGUGAAGAGGGAAACAACCCAGACCGCCAGCUAAGGUCCCAAAGUCAUGGUUAAGUGGGAAACGAUGUGGGAAGGCCCAGACAGCCAGGAUGUUGGCUUAGAAGCAGCCAUCAUUUAAAGAAAGCGUAAUAGCUCACUGGUCGAGUCGGCCUGCGCGGAAGAUGUAACGGGGCUAAACCAUGCACCGAAGCUGCGGCAGCGAACGUAUCACUUAAAGCGAUUCAGCG
RNAcentral lists this ribosomal RNA (527 nucleotides) under Salmonella enterica subsp. enterica serovar Infantis. Its description in RNAcentral is "partial 23S ribosomal RNA". It matches the Rfam family "Bacterial large subunit ribosomal RNA", at positions 711 to 1219 of the family's 2925-position model. RNAcentral also lists the same sequence under 5 other names. Lineage: Bacteria; Pseudomonadati; Pseudomonadota; Gammaproteobacteria; Enterobacterales; Enterobacteriaceae. The record is from RNAcentral.